UUCCCUAGUACGGCGAGUGAAGCGGGAAGAGCUCAAAUUUGAAAUCUGGUGGCCUCAGGUCAUCCGAGUUGUAAUCUAUAGAAGUGUUUUCCGUGCUGGCUCAUGUACAAGUCCCUUGGAACAGGGCGUCAUAGAGGGUGAGAAUCCCGUCCUUGACAUGAACUACCAGUGCUCUGUGAUACAUUUUCAACGAGUCGAGUUGUUUGGGAAUGCAGCUCAAAAUGGGUGGUAAAUUCCAUCUAAAGCUAAAUAUUGGCGAGAGACCGAUAGCGAACAAGUACCGUGAGGGAAAGAUGAAAAGCACUUUGGAAAGAGAGUUAAACAGUAUGUGAAAUUGUUGAAAGGGAAACGAUUGAAGUCAGUCGUGCUCUUUGGAUUCAGCCGGUUCUGCCGGUGUACUUCCUUUGAGUGGGGUCAACAUCAGUUUUGAUCGCUGGAUAAAGGCUGGAGGAACGUAGUACCCUCGGGUAAACUUAUAGCCUCCUGUCACAUACAGUGGUUGGGACUGAGGAACGCAGCACGCCUUUAUGGCCGGGAUUCGUCCACGUACGUGCUUAGGAUGUUGACAUAAUGGCUUUAAACGACCCGUCUUGAAACACGGACCA
RNAcentral lists this ribosomal RNA (605 nucleotides) under Filobasidium magnum. RNAcentral describes it as "eukaryotic LSU rRNA". It matches the Rfam family "Eukaryotic large subunit ribosomal RNA", at positions 76 to 668 of the family's 3401-position model. The record is from RNAcentral. Lineage: Eukaryota; Fungi; Basidiomycota; Tremellomycetes; Filobasidiales; Filobasidiaceae.